Molecule: small nucleolar RNA, 102 nt
Organism: Papaver somniferum (opium poppy)
Lineage: Eukaryota; Viridiplantae; Streptophyta; Magnoliopsida; Ranunculales; Papaveraceae
Product: small nucleolar RNA snoR113
Exons: 1
Source: RefSeq, a predicted model, not a curated record
UGGCAAUGAUGAAAAAAAGGCCGGUCUUACAGCUGUCUUGGGUUCAAUCCCAAUUUGGUAGUAGAAUGAUACAAAACUUUCAGAAGGUGUUUUCUGAGCCAU